UACGUAGGGGGCAAGCGUUGUCCGGAAUCAUUGGGCGUAAAGCGCGUGUAGGCGGCUGAGUAAGUCCGCUCUGAAAGCCCGGGGCUCAACCCCGGGAGGCGGGUGGAUACUGCUCAGCUCGAGUCCGGAAGAGGAGUGUGGAAUUCCUGGUGUAGCGGUGAAAUGCGCAGAUAUCAGGAGGAACACCGGUGGCGAAGGCGGGUCUCUGGGCCGAUACUGACGCUGAGGAGCGAAAGCGUGGGGAGCGAACAGG
RNAcentral lists this ribosomal RNA (253 nucleotides) under uncultured bacterium. RNAcentral describes it as "partial 16S ribosomal RNA". It matches the Rfam family "Bacterial small subunit ribosomal RNA", at positions 524 to 776 of the family's 1533-position model. The record is from RNAcentral.